AAGCGUAGCGAUACGUUGAGCUAACCAGUACUAAUGAUCCGUGAGGCUUAACCUUACAACACCCAAGGUGUU
RNAcentral lists this ribosomal RNA (72 nucleotides) under Hafnia alvei. RNAcentral describes it as "partial 23S ribosomal RNA". The record is from RNAcentral. Lineage: Bacteria; Pseudomonadati; Pseudomonadota; Gammaproteobacteria; Enterobacterales; Hafniaceae.